Molecule: long non-coding RNA, 587 nt
Filed under: Sitophilus oryzae (rice weevil)
Lineage: Eukaryota; Metazoa; Arthropoda; Insecta; Coleoptera; Curculionidae
Description: uncharacterized LOC115888364
Source: RNAcentral
CAGUAGUUCGAAAGAUAUAUUUAAAAAUAAAAGAUAAAAAUCAAAAAAAAUUAAUUAUCUAUUAACGUGGAUUUGGACGACAAUAGGUUUUUAGUUUGUGAUGUUUCAUGUGAUGAUCAUUUUCAUGUUCAUCGUCUUUGAAUUGACAUGAGGAUAUCUAUGGAAAAGUAACUAAUCUGAAAGUAAGCCAACAUAUCGUUUGUCCUUUGUGUACUAAAGAAAAGAUUUUCUUUUCGCAUCGUGAGGAAGUAUUACAUCAAUUAAAAAAUGUUAGGAAGUUGAUUACUUGUCAUGGAAAAGUAUACCAAUGGAAAUUAUUUGUUAAAGAAGUAUAAUUCUAAGGGUUUUAAGAAUAAAUUGGUUGAACCCAAAAUCUGGAGGAAGUACCUAUAUCCAUACACAGAAUAUGCCCAUUAAGAAUACUAGUCCAAAUUUGCUUUAAUGGAACGAUUAGGGCCCGAUAUAUUUGAAACUCAUGUUGGACAUAGUAUUGAGUUGGGUAGAAUAUUAUUCUACGUUAAGUGAGGAUAUCAGAUACCUAUUAUUGUACUGUAUUUUAAUAUAUACAUUAGAAUUGUUGGUUUUUU